This 2466-nucleotide ribosomal RNA is filed under the name Triticum aestivum (bread wheat). Its description in RNAcentral is "partial small subunit ribosomal RNA". The record is from RNAcentral. Lineage: Eukaryota; Viridiplantae; Streptophyta; Magnoliopsida; Poales; Poaceae.
AUGAGGGCAACCAGCCAGCUACACCUCCUACCGCAGCUGCUCUUGAUCACUUUCUUCCUCCUUUGGGCCCAAACCCCCGCCGCCUCCGGUGUCCGUGACAGGUUCGAGAAGGGCCAGAACCUCACCGACGGCGACACGCUCGUCUCGCCGGACGGCUCCUUCACCCUGGGGUUCUUCUCUCCCGGGGCGUCCACCAAGAGCAAGAGGUACCUCGGCAUAUGGUUCUCCGUGUCCAACGACACCGUCUGCUGGGUCGCCAACCGCGACCAGCCUCUGCUCGACAAGUCCGGCACGCUGGUGUUCGACGACCUGAGCAGCCUCGUCCUGGUCGAUGGCUCUCGCCGGACGGCGUGGUCACCGAACUUCAUGGCCGCCUCCGCCGCGGUGGUUCAGCUUCUCGACUCCGGCAACCUGGUCGUGCACAAUGACAGCAGCGACGCCGCCCUGUGGCAGUCGUUCGACCACCCGUCGGACACCUUGCUGCCCGACAUGAAGCUGGGCAAGGACCUCUGGACCGGAGCCGAGUGGCAGCUCACGGCGUGGAGCUCCGCCGACGACCCGUCUCCGGGGGCCUACCGCCGCACGCUGGAGACCAAGGGGCUGCCGGACAUCGUCCUGUGGCAAGGAGACGUGAAGAGGUACCGCACGGGCCCGUGGAACGGGCUCUACUUCAACGGCGUCCCGGAGGUGACGGCGUACGCGGACAAGUACACGCUGCGGGCGACGACGAGCCCGUGGGAGAUAACCUACGGGUACACCGCCAAGCCCGGCGCGCCGCUGACCCGCGUCGUGGUGAACCACACCGGCGACGUGGAGCGGCUGAUGUGGGACGCGGGCAUCCGGGCGUGGAAGCCCUUGUUCAAGGGGCCGCGGGACCAGUGCGACACCUACGCGCGGUGCGGGCCGUUCGGCCUCUGCGACCCCGAGGCGGCGUCGUCGGGGUUCUGCGGCUGCGUCGUGGGGUUCAGCAGGCCUGCUGCCGCCGGGACCCCGUCGCUGUCGGCUCAGGAGGUGAAGGACACCGCGGCGGGCGGGUGCCGACGAGACGCGGCGCUGGACUGUGCCGGCGGGGCGACGACGGACGGCUUCGCGGUGGUGCGGCGCGUGAAGCUUCCUGACACGCAGAACGCGUCGGUGGACAUGAACGUCACCCUAGAGGGGUGCAGGGCGAGGUGCCUCGCCGACUGCUCGUGCCGGGCCUACGCCGCGGCCGAUAUCCGGGGAGGCGGCGACGGCACCGGCUGCGUCAUGUGGGCGGAUGCCAUCGUUGAUCUACGCCUCGUCGACAGGGGGCAGGAUCUCUUCCUGAGGCUGUCAAAAUCAGAAUUCGAUGACCAGAAAGAGUUUCCUACUCUACUUGUUGUCGCACCCGUAGCUUCUGGUGUCGUUGUUCUUCUGGUCGUCUCUCUGAUUUGGUGGAGACGGAAACGCAGAAUCAUAGGUGCUAUCCCUCAGAAUCCUGCUAUGGCCGUUCCUUCAGUUAAUCUAAGCAUUAUAAAGGAGGUCACUGAAACCUUCUCUGAAAGUAACAUUAUAGGCCAGGGCGGAUUUAGUAUCAUUUACAAGGGGCUGCUGCCUGAAGGAAGAAUGAUCGCUGUCAAGAGGCUUAAACAGUCAGCACUAACCACGAAAGGCAAGAAGGAUUUCGGGAGAGAAGUGGAAGUGAUGGCCGGGCUCCGGCAUGGCAAUCUUGUUCGUCUCCUUGCUUACUGUAACGAAGGCAAGGAGAGAAUACUCAUCUAUGAACACAUGCAGAACAAGAGCCUGAACGUCUACAUAUUCGGUAUACCUAAACUACGUGCUUUAUUGAACUGGGCAAGAAGGUUGGAGUUAUUGCAUGGCAUCGCGCAUGGUGUUGCGUACCUACAUGGAGGAUCGGGUGAGAGUGUAAUCCACCGGGACCUCAAGCCCGGGAACAUUCUCCUAGACGAUGAGUGGAAGCCUAAAAUUGCCGACUUUGGCACCGCCAAGCUGUUUGUCGUCGACCAGGCAGGGCCUGAUCAAACAAUUGUAGUUUCACCGGGAUACGCAGCUCCAGAGUAUGCACGGAGAGGGGAUAUGACGCUGAAGUGUGAUGUCUACAGCUUCGGAGUCGUCCUCUUGGAGACACUCAGCGGGGAAAGGAAUGGUGGCUUGCAGAGGCUCCUUUCUCAUGCAUGGGAACUGUGGGAACAGAACAGGACCGUGGAGCUUCUCGACACCGCAGUGGUGCCACUCGCCAAGUCCGAGCCUGAGCUAUUGUCUGAGCUAAAACGAUGCAUCCAAAUUGGGCUCCUCUGUGUCCAGGAGACGCCCUGCGAAAGGCCAACCAUGUCCACGGUUGUCGCUAUGCUGACUAGCACGGCGUCGCAAAUCGAUCGGCCGAGAAGGCCGGUGCUGGAUAGGAUAGGAGCUGUGCAACCGUCGAAUUCGUCGCUUGGGCUCGAGACUGAUCUUUUGAGCCCCACUACUAUUAAUUUGACGUAA